GAUAGUGUGUGAGACGAAGCCCACACGGAAGUUCGCAUAAAUUGAUGAUUUGCAAAUUUUUACGCGGCUAAAGUUCGAAACGCGAUUUCUAUUUUUCUGAAGAGUUUUUAUAAUAAAUAUAUCAGUAAUGUGUUACUAAAUGAAUUUCUUGAGACUUAUACGUGUUGAAUGAAGUGUCCGUAAAGUACUUUUGUAUAAAAUAUAUUAAAUAUUUCGGUUAAAUCUUGUUAAGUUUGUUAUUGAAUCAUUGUUAUAGAAUCAAGCAACCGUCGAUCCCUUAUUGCAGCAUAUUUCCAAAGUAACAUAUCCAUACAGAUUCAUAAUAUGAAUAGUAAAUCAAUAUUAUAUGCUAAAGUUCCAAUUGCAUACUACACUCUGCAUAUGCCUUGUGACCUCUGCUGAAGGUCAUUCAACUAUAAGUCAUGAUGGUUUAAAUAAUGCUAUGCUCAGCAGCUACUACAUUGUUAUGCUAACAAUUAACGUACCUUUGGUCAACCAAUGUGCGCUACUUAAAUCGGCAGGUAAUCUACAUUUCUUCUCCGAUUACCAGCCAAUGGCAACUGCUUGACAUGUAUUGACCAGCUGAAUAAAGGACUGAAAGGCUGAACAAAGAAAAAAGGAGGAGCGUAUUGAGCACCAUAACAGCAUUGCAUGCACAAUCCAUAGCUGCUCUUACUGCAACUCAAGCUGCAAGAGCGCCACUACAAACUGUUUGACUCACUAUGCAACAAGUUCACGUUUAAUGCUAUUUAUAAGUCGGUAUUAUGCAAACAAUGCCAUUUGCAGAAAAUAGCAUCAAAUGCUCAAGCAGAAACGCGCAUAAGAAAUACCAAAGCAAUUACUGCCACAAUUUUGUAAAUAUUUGGAAUGAAACGAAGUGCAUUUCUGCAUAUAAAUAGGUGAGUAAAUAUUAAAUAGAUAAUAUAAUGCAAAGUAUUUCAUAUAAAUGUAUGUCUAUAAGUAUUUAUGAUCGUAGUUGCUUCGACAGCCAGGAUUUCCUUAUAGUUUAUUUACAUAUAUGUUAAUAUUUUACACCGUUGGCGCAAAUAAAAUAAAAAACUGUUUAUUUAGUUAAGCACUGUGGUAGUGCUUUACUUGCUGUUGCUAUCAAACGACUUACCUUGGAGCCAUUCUGUAGUUCGACUUGUGUGUGCAGCUGCCUCCUGCCUCGUGGUGCGCACCUGCUUGGCCUCUGCGCAAAUUGCCUUAACUUCCUUUGCUGCUGCUGUACUUUUAUUUUUCAAGUGUUUAGCAUACAUUUGCAUUUACUUUUCUCCAGCUUUACUGCCUGCAAUUGCGUGCUUGUGAUUUGUAUAUUAUUGUUGCUGCUGCUGUCUUUUUUUUAUUCAUUCGCGUCUUUAUUCGCAGCAUUUCUUUGCAAAUUACGUUUUUUUUAUUUUAUUUACACUUGCAUCGUGUUGGAUUUUAUUUUUAACUGCCAUACAGAUGCAGUAACUUAUGUAAUUAUUUAUCAAAGUUGGCAGAUGUUGAAAGGAUUUUCUUUGUUUUAUAUUAUGUAACUGUGUAUUGAGAUUGGUAUUUAAAUGAUAGUUCGAAAUUCUAUAAUUAGGUAUGAAAGUGCUUCGGAUAAGUAGAAGUAGAAACAAGAACAUAUUGAUUGAGCGUUGUUAUUGUUUCCUUGGACAAGUGUGAACAUUUUUGUGAGGUUAUAUAAAGCUAGACCCAAGUUUUUUUACAAGAAUACAAAUCUAUAAACUAUUUAGAUAUUGAUUUAUUUCAGUUAAACUACAAUGUCUACAACAAACAAAUCAAAUUUUUCUUUGACAUGAACUAUAUAUAACACAUAUGCUGGUGGGACGAUAUCAAUAUAUAUCGCUGAGUUUUUAUUGUACCGGAUAUAUGAUUUCCUGUAACUUACUUGACAAUCACGAAGCUUCUUUGCUGUAUGGGUUGUUGUUGUUGUAGCGGCAUAAACAUUCUCCAGAUAAUUUGCUGCCGAUUUAA
This is a long non-coding RNA of Zeugodacus cucurbitae (melon fly), 1965 nucleotides long. RefSeq lists it as uncharacterized. The transcript is spliced from 3 exons. The record is from RefSeq and is a predicted model, not a curated record. Lineage: Eukaryota; Metazoa; Arthropoda; Insecta; Diptera; Tephritidae.